GUUUACAAGUGCAUUUAAGAAAAUAAGAAUAAAUUUCAAGUCUAUAAGUUAAUCAAAAAUUUGAAUCAGUCAAUUACUCGGUGCAUUUCCCUCCCAGCCUAUGCCAAGGGUGAAAUACCCCUCACUGCCUAAACUUGCAGUUCAGCUUUGCCAUUACAUGUUGUAUAUACAAGUAGCUAACAAACUCCGCAACUGAAAGCAAUCCAGUUCUUCCGAGUUCAGAUGCUGUCCCUUUAACGGUUGUUUCCGUCAGCAGGAGAUAAAUAUAAUGCAAUGUUCUAAUGUCGGUUCAUGUUAACAGUUAGCAGUCACUCUAAGAGUCUGGAUUGACUGCUACCACUCUGCUAGAAAAACACCUGUCCAUUGGUGCAAGUCCGGACAACUUCAAAAGUAGGUAGCAUCAAAUGUGCUCCAUAACCCACUUAUAAAUGGAAUCAUUAGCUUGUUUACACUUAAUACACAGCUUACUGUUGUAAAUUAAUGUGAACUCUCGUGAAGCAAUCUCUUUAUAUGCUUCGCCCAAGUCAAAUAUUAGCCAGAUGGCUU
This 546-nucleotide unclassified non-coding RNA is filed under the name Hevea brasiliensis (rubber tree). The record is from RNAcentral. Lineage: Eukaryota; Viridiplantae; Streptophyta; Magnoliopsida; Malpighiales; Euphorbiaceae.